GGAAUAUUGGACAAUGGGCGAAAGCCUGAUCCAGCCAUGCCGCGUGUGUGAAGAAGGUCUUCGGAUUGUAAAGCACUUUAAGUUGGGAGGAAGGGCAUUAACCUAAUACGUUAGUGUUUUGACGUUACCGACAGAAUAAGCACCGGCUAACUCUGUGCCAGCAGCCGCGGUAAUACAGAGGGUGCAAGCGUUAAUCGGAAUUACUGGGCGUAAAGCGCGCGUAGGUGGUUCGUUAAGUUGGAUGUGAAAUCCCCGGGCUCAACCUGGGAACUGCAUUCAAAACUGUCGAGCUAGAGUAUGGUAGAGGGUGGUGGAAUUUCCUGUGUAGCGGUGAAAUGCGUAGAUAUAGGAAGGAACACCAGUGGCGAAGGCGACCACCUGGACUGAUACUGACACUGAGGUGCGAAAGCGUGGGGAGCAAACAGGAUUAGAUACCCGGG
This 440-nucleotide ribosomal RNA is filed under the name uncultured Pseudomonas sp. RNAcentral's name for it is "bacterial SSU rRNA". It matches the Rfam family "Bacterial small subunit ribosomal RNA", at positions 358 to 790 of the family's 1533-position model. The record is from RNAcentral. Lineage: Bacteria; Pseudomonadati; Pseudomonadota; Gammaproteobacteria; Pseudomonadales; Pseudomonadaceae.